This 440-nucleotide ribosomal RNA is filed under the name Salmonella enterica subsp. enterica serovar Montevideo. Its description in RNAcentral is "bacterial SSU rRNA". It matches the Rfam family "Bacterial small subunit ribosomal RNA", at positions 338 to 795 of the family's 1533-position model. The record is from RNAcentral. Lineage: Bacteria; Pseudomonadati; Pseudomonadota; Gammaproteobacteria; Enterobacterales; Enterobacteriaceae.
CCUACGGGAGGCUGCAGUGGGGAAUAUUGCACAAUGGGGGAAACCCUGAUGCAGCAACGCCGCGUGAGUGAUGACGGCCUUCGGGUUGUAAAGCUCUGUCUUCAGGGACGAUAAUGACGGUACCUGAGGAGGAAGCUACGGCUAACUACGUGCCAGCAGCCGCGGUAAUACGUAGGUGGCUAGCGUUGUCCGGAUUUACUGGGCGUAAAGGGAGCGUAGGCGGACUUUUAAGUGAGAUGUGAAAUACCCGGGCUCAACUUGGGUGCUGCAUUUCAAACUGGAAGUCUAGAGUGCAGGAGAGGAGAAUGGAAUUCCUAGUGUAGCGGUGAAAUGCGUAGAGAUUAGGAAGAACACCAGUGGCGAAGGCGAUUCUCUGGACUGUAACUGACGCUGAGGCUCGAAAGCGUGGGGAGCAAACAGGAUUAGAUACCCCAGUAGUC